This is a long non-coding RNA of Ictalurus punctatus (channel catfish), 2709 nucleotides long. The record is from Ensembl. NCBI's taxonomy places the organism in Eukaryota, Metazoa, Chordata, Actinopteri, Siluriformes, Ictaluridae.
AAGACGGAAGCCUUUUAGAACCAACGAGUACAUAAAAAUACAUCCAAUCUCCCCAAACCAUGUGAAAUAAUGUGUUAUGAUACCUGAUAAGACCAAAAUUCAACUUUUUAGCCUAAAAGUUACAGCUUGUUAUUAAUUGGAAACGGGCUCUCUCGUGGCUCCACCCACCACGCACGUUCGAACCAAUCAUAUUAUCCUCUCUGGCGUCCAUGGGCGUGACUAACCGCGUCGGUCUGUUAAAGGUAGCAGGUUGUACAUGGCGAGCGGGUUACUCACUGAGGGCUGGUGAUUGGUGUAAUGGAAGCCGUCUCUGAACCGCAUUUAAUGACGGAGAACUACAGAAGUGGAGAGAAAACGCAGCACUGAACAGCUUGUAGACUUCACACCCAACUAUAGGUGGUGUCCAAAGCCCCUGGUGGUGGAAGUGCAUGGCGUUUGUGUGGAAGCAGGUCUGUUGGGAGUGUUAAGUACCAUCAUCUCAUACACUCAGCAAACAAUAUGGAUGGAACUUUCCAGAGUUGUGGUGUCACUUUUCCUGCAAAGCUUUAACCAUCAGAGAGUUAUCUUUUACUGGGGCUUUUAGUUGCAGGAGACUGAAUUACUAACGGUGGGUUUUUUUUUUUUUUUUUUUUUGUGGAUCUGAUUUCUUCUUUCGCAGGAGUGGAUCUAAUCACAGCCUGUGAUAUUUGUCUGUGCACACAGGAUGGCUGGUUUCAGGUGAAGGUAUGAGGAACAUUAACUUGCCAUACAUUGCUUGCUUACAUGUUUACACCAAGAUCUGUAAACAAGUUAUUUUUGUCCAUAUGAUCACUAUAGAGAUAGUAAGUGAUGAGAAGAUAAGAAUGGGCUGAUUGUUCUGACUUGAACAAGCCCCUAUGAAAGAGUUGACCACAAGGGGGCACACUCUGAACAAUUAUUUACAUUUGCAGUUUGUUGAAGAUUAAAUAAACCACAGUGAGCAUCAGAUGUCUGGUUUUAAUACAAAGGACUAUUUUAUGAUAUUGCCAUCUUGUCAUUUAUCAAAGAAGAGCUACAAAAUCUGAAAUUUGUUCAUUUUUAGACAGAAAUUCUGCAGUGUAGCUGUUCUAGUGGGCUUUCCCACUGGAAGUUUAGUCCCAAACAGAGCAGUUUGCAUGAAAAGUUGGUAAUAUGACCGUCGUAAUGUGGACUGGGAAGUGCACUGCGGUACCGAACCCGAGACCACCUGUAGAAGGUGGUCCGAGUUCGGUUACACUGGAACUGUGAAUUGUCCCAUGAAUGUGAACGUAACUUGUAUCCGGGUCUGCACUUGUUCAGGAAGUAGAGUAACCUGUGCUGAAGGCCUGUUGUGGUGAUGUGUCAUGACAUGUUUUGGCCCAAAUCUGCAGUAACUUUGAAAAAGUGGAAGCUCCUCUGAAUAUUGUGGAGUUUCUUGAUUUUGUGUUAAUUUCUGUGAUCACAAAAUGGUGAAAUUCUGGACUGACACAUGGAAGAUAUGGAACGAUAACAGAAGAAUGUGACUUUGGGUUGUACCCCCCCCCCCCCCCCCCCCAGUAGCUUAAUUAUUUAGUAUAAAUGAAGGCAAGUGUGUGUUCUGUUCUUCAUCUCUGCAGUUGUGUAUUCCCUGAUCAAUGAUUGCUGGAGCUCUGGAAAUAGCAGGUGAGAUUGCAGGCCGGAGUCCAGUUGCUGUCCAGGGAACCAAAAUCAACCUCCUCUACUCCUGAGACCACAGUGUGACUGAGAGCCUAGACUACAUGGCUACUUGGAACAUGAACAUGUUGCAGACACAGGAUCUUAUGAAGUCAGUGCAGGCAGCCCUGGGAAAAAGAGUCCGAAAGACGUGCCCUUCUCCAAGCUUUAAAGGAGAAGAUCCAGGGCUGUUGAAGCUGCGGUGGAACUGAGACUUCAUCAUCCACAGAUCUUUAGUUCUUCUUGCUAAGUCUCAGUUUCUUUUUAGUCUUUUUAUUUUAGACUGGUCAAAAGACUGAACAGUGGAAGUGAAAUGAUAGAUGAACUUGCUUGAUUAUUUGCAGGUGCUUUGUACAGUAAGACAGGGUAACUAAUACUCAAAAGCCUGUUUUGUGUGUUCUAGUAGAUGUACAUUUUCUUUCUGGUGCUGUGUGACUGCAGAAUGUAGUGCAGUUAACACAUUAAAUUUCCUUGGAUGCUCUCUUUUAACUCGAGGAGGUCAUAGUUUGCCCAGACAUCUUUUUUUUUAAAUCCGUCAAUCCGUCACCCACACGUCAUUCUGGGGGACGAAGAGGAGGAAGCUGGACAGAUUUUAUUUAUUUAUUUAUUUAUUUAUUUAUUUAUUUAUCAUUGUGUUUCCUCAAUCGAGUGCAGAAAGAGUUUUGUAAAGUUUUGCUUUACAAUUCCAAAUGACCAUUGGUACUGUGUACACAUCAACAUACACACACGUCUCCAUGCUGGACAUAUCAGGUGCUUUCACACACAGUGCUAGGAAUAUCCCGGGACAGAGAAACGCACCUCCUAAGAACAGAAAUGAUCCAUCACCACCUGCUCCGUUUGACUCAAAAACAUAAACGAUUUCAAAAAGUCACGAUGUCUUCAGUUCGUGAUUUUUACUGUUGAAUUUAAACAGGAAAUGGCUUUUUUCCUUCCUUCGUUUCCUCUACUGUCUUUUUGCUGUGAUCUUGAACACAGUUGUAAUUUUUACAAAAAAAAUAAAUGAUCAUUCUAUUUCUCUCACUUUCCUUGUCCUAAUUGUCC